CACGUAGGGCGCAAGCGUUGUCCGGAAUUAUUGGGCGUAAAGAGCUCGUAGGUGGUUUGUUACGUCCGCUGUGAAAUCCUAGGGCUUAACCCUGGGCUUGCAGUGGAUACGGGCAGACUAGAGGUAGGUAGGGGAGAAUGGAAUUCCUGGUGUAGCGGUGAAAUGCGCAGAUAUCAGGAGGAACACCGGUGGCGAAGGCGGUUCUCUGGGCCUUACCUGACACUGAGGAGCGAAGCGUGGGGAGCGAACAGG
Molecule: ribosomal RNA, 252 nt
Filed under: uncultured bacterium
Lineage: Bacteria
Description: partial 16S ribosomal RNA
Rfam family: Bacterial small subunit ribosomal RNA
Source: RNAcentral